UUAACGAUUUAUAUUUAUACUCAGAAAAAAUAAUUAUAAGAAUUUAAGAAAGCUACUGGUGAGCACAGACCAGGGGCUUGAAAGUCCCCGGCGACCUUUUAAAGAUGGGCUCACCAAAGCAACAUGGUAUAAUAAACAAAGGGUUUGGAGAUCGGGCCUGAAAAGACCCUAACUCGGUAAUGAUCCUUCCGCAGGUUCACCUACGGAAA
Molecule: unclassified non-coding RNA, 209 nt
Filed under: uncultured fungus
Lineage: Eukaryota; Fungi
Description: sequence contains ITS1
Source: RNAcentral